GACGAACGCUGGCGGCGUGCUUAACACAUGCAAGUCGAACGGAAAGGCCCUGCUUGCAGGGUCCUCGAGUGGCGAACGGGUGAGUAACACGUGGGUGAUCUGCCCUGCACUUCGGGAUAAGCCUGGGAAACUGGGUCUAAUACCGGAUAGGAGCCAUUUUUAGUGUGAUGGUUGGAAAGUUUUUUCGGUGUAGGAUGAGCUCGCGGCCUAUCAGCUUGUUGGUGGGGUAAUGGCCUACCAAGGCGGCGACGGGUAGCCGGCCUGAGAGGGUGGACGGCCACAUUGGGACUGAGAUACGGCCCAGACUCCUACGGGAGGCAGCAGGGGGGAAUAUUGCAAAAUGGGCGCAAGCCUGAUGCAGCGACGCCGCGUGGGGGAUGACGGCCUUCGGGUUGUAAACUCCUUUCGCUAGGGACGAAGCUUUUUGUGACGGUACCUAGAUAAGAAGCACCGGCUAACUACGUG
This 465-nucleotide ribosomal RNA is filed under the name uncultured bacterium. RNAcentral describes it as "partial 16S ribosomal RNA". It matches the Rfam family "Bacterial small subunit ribosomal RNA", at positions 28 to 507 of the family's 1533-position model. The record is from RNAcentral.